This 873-nucleotide long non-coding RNA is filed under the name Apteryx owenii (little spotted kiwi). RNAcentral describes it as "lncRNA (ENSAOWG00000013504.1)". The record is from RNAcentral. Lineage: Eukaryota; Metazoa; Chordata; Aves; Apterygiformes; Apterygidae.
AACAUGAUUGGAUGAAACACAAUUUGGCUUGUGAGUGGUUUAAACUGCCACCUUGUGCGUGCGUGGACCCUGCUCCAGCCACCUGGCCUGAGCCCAGGACCCCCACCCGAAACACUUCAAAUAAUAUCCUAAAUUCUGAAUCUCCCAUUUGUCCAUGCUGAGGUGACUUGCAAGAUCUGAGGAUACCAUUGCUCAGUGGAAAUGUAAGGCAUUACAGAAUUGAACUAUAGUGUCUGAAGACUGAGUCACACUAUACAAAGAGAUUCUUCUUCCUUUAAAAAUACUUCUUGUUUGUAGCUUUAAAAGAAACCCAUGAACUCAACAAAUUGUGCCAGAUUUAGACUACUGAGAAUGGAUCUUCCAAACGUGACAGUUGAUAGGAAAAAGCCCAAAGAAUACCCCGGACACUGUUUGGAAGAAGAGUGAAUACAACUAAGAAAAGGGAGAAAAAAGACUUGUUUUAUCAAGCACACAAAAUAUCUACAAAGAGAGACUUCCUCUCUAUUUCAAGACCAAGAGAACAGACCUCUAAGCAAACAAUUUAAAAUGGGACCAAAUGCUAAAGACUGUAAAGUGAACCCAAAGACAUAUGACAUAUAUCUACAACAAACAAGAUUUUGAUAAUCUCUAGGAUGCAGAAAGGGCUUAUUUAUAAUGUCUUGGUGGUGUCUCUCUAGGCAAUUCCAGCGUACAUAUUUGUUCUAAAUUAACACUUCAGCAAUUUUCAACAUGACAGAAAGCACCACACCAUGCCUCCGUUGUUCUGAACCCAUUAAAUUGCAAUUUGUGUUUACAUGUUAGAUGCUGAAAGCCUAAGAACAUUCUUUGUGUAUUUAAUAAGAUAAAUGAUUUUGUGUAUAAAUAAUCCCUUAA